UACGGGGGGAGCAAGCGUUGUUCGGAUUUACUGGGCGGAAAGGGCGCGUAGGCGGCCACUGCAAGUCGGUUGUGAAAUCUCCGGGCUUAACCCGGAAAGGUCAAUCGAUACUGCAGGGCUAGAGUGCGGAAGGGGCAACUGGAAUUCUCGGUGUAGCGGUGAAAUGCGUAGAUAUCGAGAGGAACACCUGCGGCGAAGGCGGGUUGCUGGGCCGACACUGACGCUGACAGCGCGAAAGCUAGGGGAGCGAACGGG
This 255-nucleotide ribosomal RNA is filed under the name uncultured bacterium. Its description in RNAcentral is "partial 16S ribosomal RNA". It matches the Rfam family "Bacterial small subunit ribosomal RNA", at positions 524 to 776 of the family's 1533-position model. The record is from RNAcentral.